This 393-nucleotide long non-coding RNA is filed under the name Homo sapiens (human). RNAcentral describes it as "non-protein coding lnc-NDRG1-7:3". Lineage: Eukaryota; Metazoa; Chordata; Mammalia; Primates; Hominidae. The record is from RNAcentral.
CUCCGAACCCCUUCAUGCCCAAAUCCCGGAAACUCCAGCGUGUCUCCAGCCGUGGAGCACCAUGCAAAGUGCGGAGAUGCAGAGAGGAAAGACUACUCGGUCCUUGUUCCUUGCUGUCCCAGAGGUCACAGUGCUGUGGGGAGGGGGACAAGGACAUACCCUGUCAGGCUGCGUAUAUAAAUACACAGGUGCUAAGCAAAAUGGGAACGGAGAAGGGAAAGGUUCCCUCCACCUUGAGAGACCCACAGAAGGGUGUUCUAGAGAUGGAUGAGUCAGACUGCAAGAGAGCAAAGAUAUCUUCCUGAAUACAUUCAAUAUCAAAGCAUCAUGUGCCCUGUGUGUGCAAAAUAAUAAUAAUCAUAAUAAUAAAGUAAAAUAAAAGAUUGGCUGUAA